UGGGACUCGCCUCGGCCUUUUACCUCAGGGGCCGCCGUGGGGGCGGUGGUGCUGGCUGGCUUCACGGAGGCGCCCGCCCUCCCGGAUCGGCCCUGCUGGGGCCUCUGUGUAGGCCGGGGGAGGGGGGCGCUCCGGCCCCGCUAGCUGCCCCCGCCCCGCUAGCUGCCCCCGCCCCGCUAGCUGCCCCCGCCCCGCUAGCUGCCCCCGCCUCCAGCCCCGUGGUGCCGGCUGAGGGCGGGGACGGGGGAUGGCGGCCUCUGAGGGCGUUCCCCGCGGUCGGUACCUGUGUGGGGAGUCUCCCGCUGGCCCUGAGCCUGUAUCUGUAAACUGGACUCUGGCUGUCAGGGCAGAGACGUCUUCAUCGCCAAAUCUGAGAAGGACACAAAACCCGGACAGGAUAUGAUCUGCCAGCUGUACAGCUCAAGGGGAAUGUUCCAAGGAAAGAAUGAAAGUCUAUGAAUGUCUGAAAAAAAUAAAAGAUGGAAGGGAGGACACGUGGACGCUCUGGCUUGGAGAAAAAGAAAGUAGGAAAUCAGAUCCUCUUGAGCAGGAGACAGAGUGGACUGACCCACAGGCUCCUUUUCUCUUGUUAAUGUUUCAUUCCUUCAAACAUUCAUGCUUGAAGUGAACUUCAAACACUUGGUGAGCUGUAUGAAGACCAGCUAUGGCUUUAAAUGAAGUGGAGAACCUGCGAACACUGGCUGUCAUGCA
Chroicocephalus ridibundus (black-headed gull) is the source of this 711-nucleotide long non-coding RNA. RefSeq lists it as uncharacterized. The record is from RefSeq and is a predicted model, not a curated record. Lineage: Eukaryota; Metazoa; Chordata; Aves; Charadriiformes; Laridae. The transcript is spliced from 3 exons.